Molecule: ribosomal RNA, 36 nt
Filed under: Ficus carica (common fig)
Lineage: Eukaryota; Viridiplantae; Streptophyta; Magnoliopsida; Rosales; Moraceae
Also listed under: 1 other name
Description: partial 28S ribosomal RNA
Source: RNAcentral
CAACGCGACCCCAGGUCAGGCGGGGCUACCCGCUGA